CGACAUAUUUGAAUUAAGAGUGUUAAAGUGUGAGCUACUCAUAAAUGGUGCCAUUGAUUUACAUUUAGGUUGGGGUAGAUUGUGAUCCCACCAUUUAAGGAUUGUGGUGCUUGGUGAAAAGGACAUGGAUGGUUCAUCAACUCAACUAAUUCACUUUAAUUUUUCAAACCUAAGAAAACAACUUUUGUAGCGGAAGGUUUACAAUAUUAAGGUAGGACUUCAAUGAAUAUUGAAGUUAUGUUUGUGUAGAUUGUUUUUUGUUUUUAUUUUGAAAUAAAACAAAUGAA
RNAcentral lists this long non-coding RNA (287 nucleotides) under Vitis vinifera (wine grape). Its description in RNAcentral is "long non-coding RNA (VVIN_LNC007310)". Lineage: Eukaryota; Viridiplantae; Streptophyta; Magnoliopsida; Vitales; Vitaceae. The record is from RNAcentral.